Molecule: ribosomal RNA, 253 nt
Filed under: uncultured bacterium
Lineage: Bacteria
Description: partial 16S ribosomal RNA
Rfam family: Bacterial small subunit ribosomal RNA
Source: RNAcentral
UACAGAGGUCUCAAGCGUUGUUCGGAUUCAUUGGGCGUAAAGGGUGCGUAGGUGGCGCCGUAAGUCAGGUGUGAAAUUUCGGAGCUUAACUCCGAAACUGCAUUUGAUACUGCGGUGCUUGAGGACUGGAGAGGAGACUGGAAUUCACGGUGUAGCAGUGAAAUGCGUAGAUAUCGUGAGGAAGACCAGUGGCGAAGGCGGGUCUCUGGACAGUUCCUGACACUAAGGCACGAAAGCCAGGGGAGCGAACGGG